Molecule: ribosomal RNA, 331 nt
Filed under: uncultured eukaryote
Lineage: Eukaryota
Description: partial 18S ribosomal RNA
Rfam family: Eukaryotic small subunit ribosomal RNA
Source: RNAcentral
CCCUUAGAUGUUCUGGGCCGCACGCGCGCUACACUGACGAAGUCAGCGAGCAUGUCCUACGCCGACAGGUGCGGGGAAUCUUGUCAAACUUCGUCGUGAUGGGGAUUGAUUAUUGAAAUUCUUGAUCAUCAACGAGGAAUUCCUAGUAAGCGCAAGUCAGCAGCUUGCGUUGAUUACGUCCCUGCCCUUUGUACACACCGCCCGUCGCUACUACCGAUUGAAUGGUUUAGUGAGAUCUUCGGAUUGGCGACACUGCGGCUCAGCAAUGGGCUCGGUGGAUGCCGAAAAGUUGAUCAAACUUGAUCAUUUAGAGGAAGUAAAAGUCGUAACA